ACUGAACGCUGGCGGCAGGCCUAACACAUGCAAGUCGAGCGGAUGAAGGGAGCUUGCUCCUGGAUUCAGCGGCGGACGGGUGAGUAAUGCCUAGGAAUCUGCCUGGUAGUGGGGGAUAACGUCCGGAAACGGGCGCUAAUACCGCAUACGUCCUGAGGGAGAAAGUGGGGGAUCUUCGGACCUCACGCUAUCAGAUGAGCCUAGGUCGGAUUAGCUAGUUGGUGGGGUAAAGGCCUACCAAGGCGACGAUCCGUAACUGGUCUGAGAGGAUGAUCAGUCACACUGGAACUGAGACACGGUCCAGGCUCCUACGGGAGGCAGCAGUGGGGAAUAUUGGACAAUGGGCGAAAGCCUGAUCCAGCCAUGCCGCGUGUGUGAAGAAGGUCUUCGGAUUGUAAAGCACUUUAAGUUGGGAGGAAGGGCAGUAAGUUAAUACCUUGCUGUUUUGACGUUACCAACAGAAUAAGCACCGGCUAACUUCGUG
RNAcentral lists this ribosomal RNA (484 nucleotides) under uncultured bacterium. RNAcentral's name for it is "partial 16S ribosomal RNA". It matches the Rfam family "Bacterial small subunit ribosomal RNA", at positions 30 to 507 of the family's 1533-position model. The record is from RNAcentral.